This 512-nucleotide ribosomal RNA is filed under the name uncultured bacterium. Its description in RNAcentral is "bacterial SSU rRNA". It matches the Rfam family "Bacterial small subunit ribosomal RNA", at positions 8 to 515 of the family's 1533-position model. The record is from RNAcentral.
AGAGUUUGAUCAUGGCUCAGGAUGAACGCUAGCGGCAGGCUUAACACAUGCAAGUCGAGGGGUAACAGGGAAGCUUGCUUCCGCUGACGACCGGCGCACGGGUGCGUAACGCGUAUAGAACCUACCUUUUACAGAGGGAUAGCCUUUAGAAAUGAAGAUUAAUACCUCAUAGUAUUGAGACUUGGCAUCAAGACUUAAUUAAAGAUUUAUCGGUAAAAGAUGGCUAUGCGUCCUAUUAGCUAGAUGGUAAGGUAACGGCUUACCAUGGCAACGAUAGGUAGGGGUCCUGAGAGGGAGAUCCCCCACACUGGUACUGAGACACGGACCAGACUCCUACGGGAGGCAGCAGUGAGGAAUAUUGGGCAAUGGAGGCAACUCUGACCCAGCCAUGCCGCGUGCAGGAAGACGGCCCUAUGGGUUGUAAACUGCUUUUAUACAGGAAGAAACACUCGUACGUGUACGAGCUUGACGGUACUGUAAGAAUAAGCACCGGCUAACUCCGUGCCAGCAGC